CAGAGUUUAGUUUAAAUAAAAAACAUCUCCCUUACACUGAGAAGACUGUCCGUGCAAACCGGACUCCUCUGA
Molecule: transfer RNA, 72 nt
Filed under: Echiichthys vipera (lesser weever)
Lineage: Eukaryota; Metazoa; Chordata; Actinopteri; Perciformes; Trachinidae
Description: tRNA-Val
Rfam family: tRNA
About the family: Transfer RNA (tRNA) molecules are approximately 80 nucleotides in length. Their secondary structure includes four short double-helical elements and three loops (D, anti-codon, and T loops). Further hydrogen bonds mediate the characteristic L-shaped molecular structure. tRNAs have two regions of fundamental functional importance: the anti-codon, which is responsible for specific mRNA codon recognition, and the 3' end, to which the tRNAs corresponding amino acid is attached (by aminoacyl-tRNA synthetases). tRNAs cope with the degeneracy of the genetic code in two manners: having more than one tRNA (with a specific anti-codon) for a particular amino acid; and 'wobble' base-pairing, i.e. permitting non-standard base-pairing at the 3rd anti-codon position.
Source: RNAcentral